CACUCGAUCGUGCAUCUUCGUUUUUUUUUUGUUUAUUGUUAAUAAAUAUGGCGGUGUUGUUAAAAGGAAAGACCAUAAACAAGGCAACGGUAUUUAUUUGUAAUUGUUUUUAGAGGAGUGUCCGUGAAUGUUUAUUUUAGACAACUCAUGAUAACUAAUAGUGAACAUGCCGAGGGAAGUGGAAUAUGAUUCACUGGCAAUGUUUAGGACCGUUUUUUUUUCUAUAGUUUCUUUACUUCCCUUGGGGAUGAGCAUAUCGCUAGUUGCCACAGAUUGUAGUCAUGCUGGAGACAUGAUAAUUAUUGGAAUUUACUUUUAUAUGUUAACAGAAAGAAAUAGCUUCGGUAAAUCUGUAUUGUACGGAUUAGCGCCAAAAAAAAUCGUACAAAUAUGAAAUAACUUUCAUUAUAUGCUCUUUUACGUCCUCUUUUCAAAACCGCUUGCGGAGAUUAAAAAUUCCAAUUACUUUUGGAGAUAUCGCCGUUCUUAUUUUGCAAUACAAGCCCUAUGUAAUUAUUCAACAGACGCCAUUUUAUAUUUUGCCGUGUGUACGUGAAUGCCUAAAUAACAGAAAUUUUCCAUUAGGUAAGGUUAGUUACAUGAUAAAUACUUCAAAAUAAACGGAAAUUAAAAAUAAUAUUAAUUAAUUUUACUUGUAUAGUUUUAAGUAUUUAUAAUGUAACUGACCUGACCUAACAAAACGGGACAAAGGUAGAUUAGGUCAGGUCAGCUACAGUAUAAAUACUUUGAAACUGAACGGACAUUAAAAAUAAUAAAAUUAAUUUUAAUGGUUGUUUACUUUUAAAGUAUUUAUAAUGUAGCUGACCUGACCUAACAAACCGGGAAAAAGGAUGAACAGUAGGAACUCACGUAAUUUUCCUUUUUACGUGAUGUAGUCGUUCAACUACGUCGCGAAAAAAAAAAAAAAAAAAAAUCAUACUUGUAAACAAGCAACAAUGGUGAAACGCGGGAAGCCUACGAUUCACUCAUCCUUCUGGACAUACCCGAAUUCUCACGUUGGCAAGCCUUCUUUCAACAGACGAGAGGCGAACGCCCGAUCGUGCAUCUUCGGGUUUUUUUUUUUUUUUGUUUAUUGUAAAUAAAUAUGCAACUCAUGAAAACUAAUGGUCAAUUAGGUUAUGUUAGCUACAUUAUAAAUACUUCAAAACAUUGUGGAUGGUUGAUUUGGUUAGGAUAGCUACAUUAAAAAUACUGUGAAAUCAUGUAAACGGUUUCCUAGCGCUGGAUAGCUACAUAUUAAAAAGUUAUUUGCUAAGCAACCAUAAAAUGAUUUUACAGUUUUUUUAAUGUAGCUAUACUUACCUAAUAUAACCAAACAUCCACAGUGUUUUUAAAGUAUUUUUAAUUACUUCUUGCUAAUUUUAAGAAAAGAAGGCUUGCCAACGUGAGUAUUCGGGUAUGUCCAGAAGGAUGUGUGAAUCGUAGGCUUCCUUCUUAACGCCGCAUCAGUGCACAUCACGAAAAUUAAAAAAUUCCAUAUCUCCUAAAGUAUUUGGAAUUUCUGAUCUCCGCCGGGUUUAAUGAAAAGAGGAAGUUAAAGAGCACAGAAUAAAGGUAUCAGAUAUGGGCUGAUUUUUCGGGAUGCACCACCCUAAGUGCUACACGUGCCUAUUUGUGUGACCUCCAUUUAGACGAGCAUCAGUUUUCAGGAUUGUGACAAGCUGCUGCUGGCUCGAGGAGCAAUACCAACAGUCAAGGCUGUUAAUGGGGGUGUGUUACUUUAAGGGAAGAAUCUGGUGAUCAAACAUCUACAGGCAAGACUGAGACCUCUCUGCUUUCACACAGUGCAAGUUUAAUUAAUACAUUUGUGACAGGCAGUAGCAAGGGGGCCUGCCUUCAUAUUAAAACUUCCCAAGUCAAGGAUUGUAUUUUGUGUUAGUAAGUUAUGUUAAGACUUUUUGUGUCACAUAACAUACUGUAAAUGUUGGCAAACAAAUUUAAUGUAUUUCUCAUUGCAGGAAAUAUUUUACUUCCCCACAAUAAAUCUAGAACCAAUGAGUACCAGUAUAUUUUAGCAAUAUCAUUAGUUUUCCCUAAACAUUAUAAUAAAAUUAUAAUUUCAGAUAGUCCUCCUUGUUUUAUUGUCCGUAGAAGCUUUGCGUUAAUCAUUCUUCACCGUGUUAAUCCCCAGCUUUGUGGAUUAUUCGUGUGAUGUAUUUUUCAGUAAUGCAGGAUGUCAGCUGAUAACCUUUAUGUUUCUAGGUCAUGGUGACCUAGUAUGGUAUUUGUAUUUUUUUUUUUUUUUCACAUGAAUCUAUACCAAUAUUAUAAAGCUGAAGAGUUUGUUUGUUUGUUUGUUUGUUUGAAUGCACUAAUCUCAGGAACCACUGGUCCGAUUUGAAAAAUUCUUUCAGUGUUGGAUAAUAGAUUUAUUGAGGAAGGCUAUAGGCUUUAUUAUAUUAUCAAUAACAUUAGGGAUCCUUACUAAAAGUCCAAUUUAGUAUCAAAUGUGUUGGAAGGGGUUAGAUACAACAUGCAGUACACGUACGAAGUGUGUGUUGACAAUGCCGCAGGCGCUAGAAGUUUAUUAUUGCCUAUUAACAUUGUUGCCACGCACUAGUUGCCUUAUCAUUCUUAAUUUUCCCAAUCAAGUAAAAAACACCAGUGUGAUAUUAACAACGAAGCAGUCAGUACCCUCAUAUUGAAUACAUAGAAAUAGUGUGAGGUAUAUAUGUAGAUAUAAAGAGAUAAAUACAGAUAGAUACAUAGAUAUAUAGGACUAUGGAUGUAGAUGGAGAUAAAUAUAUAUUUAGAGACAUGGAUAGAUUAUGAACGUGAGGGCCGAGCGAGCGGGUGUCGUGACACAAUCACGACAUAAUCACAACACAAUCCGAAACUAUCACGACACUAUCACCACCAGAUUACAACACAGUACGGACUUUAACUCUACCGCCGGUAACGAAGAAUUGUAGGCAUAACGACCCGCAGACAGUACGUAUGCCAGGACUAUUUGCGGACACAAGAGACAGCGAGCAGGAUGAGAACUUGUGCGUUAUUGCGGCUAUGUGCAGAGAGCUUCACUUGCUAGCGGCGGAAGAGUAACAGAAAACAGAACCGCAUAAACAGAGACUAUGUUACAUCAAUGGUUGUGUGUAAAUAAUUGUAACCACUUGUACUAACGAUCGGAAUUUGUCACUAGUAAUAUUAAGAUUAUGAAUGUUCAGUGUGACUUUGUAUGUUGUCUAGCCUUAGUAGUUUAGAUUGACGGUGUAUCGGUCGUUGGCAGUGAUGAGCUCACGGCUCGCCCGAAUUAAGGGUAUUGUUUUGUUUUUUUAAUUGUUUCAAGAAUCCAUCACAGAGAGUUAAUUCAUAUGUCUUGUGUUAUAGUGGUAUCUUGUAUCAGCAGUUCAACUCCACAAGAACCCGACUUAUUUACGUUUUAUUUCAGUUUGAGAAUCAAUGAAAUACUUGUUUGUGUUAUUGAGUUUGUCAAUAAAUUGUUAUUGGAAUGAACUUAGCAACUAAUUUCAGAACCACCUGCAAACGUUCUUUUUCCUCCUUGUUAGGGUUUUCCUAUGUCUUUAGUAAAACCCGUGACAAUAUUUCUAGAACAAUUUUUCAAAUUAAACAUUCUUGUAAACAUAAACAGCAAAGCAUAUUGUCACCUGUUCCUUAUUCUUAGGUUAAUCUGUUUAUAUUUCAUGUUUUGUGGUUUCAUAAUCCUGAUGUCAGAGUAGCGUAGUAAUUUGACCACUAGAUUCAAUCUUGCUUUAAUGAAUGAAUUUUAUUUUUCUGUUUUAGGUAUCAGAUAUGGGCUGAUUUUUUGGGAUGCACCACCCUAAGUGCUACACGUGCCUAUUUGUGUGACCUCCAUUUUGACGAGCAUCAGUUUUCAGGAUUGUGACAAGCUGCUGCUGUCUCGAGGAGCAAUACCAACAGUCAAGGCUGUUAAUGGAGGUGUGUUACUUUAAGGGAAGAAUCUGGUGAUCAAACAUCUACAGGCAAGACUGAGACCUCUCUGCUUUCACACAGUGCAAGUUUAAUUAAUACAUUUGUGACAGGCAGUAGCAAGGGGGCCUGCCUUCAUAUUAAAACUUCCCAAGUCAAGGAUUGUAUUUUGUGUUAGUAAGUUAUGUUAAGACUUUUUGUGUCACAUAACAUACUGUAAAUGUUGGCAAACAAAUUUAAUGUAUUUCUCAUUGCAGGAAAUAUUUUACUUCCCCACAAUAAAUCUAGAACCAAUGAGUACCAGUAUAUUUUAGCAAUAUCAUUAGUUUUCCCUAAACAUUAUAAUAAAAUUAUAAUUUCAGAUAGUCCUCCUUGUUUUAUUGUCCGUAGAAGCUUUGCGUUAAUCAUUCUUCACCGUGUUAAUCCCCAGCUUUGUGGAUUAUUCGUGUGAUGUAUUUUUCAGUAAUGCAGGAUGUCAGCUGAUAACCUUUAUGUUUCUAGGUCAUGGUGACCUAGUAUGGUAUUUGUAUUUUUUUUUUUUU
This is a long non-coding RNA of Bacillus rossius redtenbacheri, 4451 nucleotides long. RefSeq lists it as uncharacterized. The record is from RefSeq and is a predicted model, not a curated record. The transcript is spliced from 2 exons. Lineage: Eukaryota; Metazoa; Arthropoda; Insecta; Phasmatodea; Bacillidae.